AAAGGUGCUAAGAUGUAACUCUUAUUGUCCAUAGAAUUUGCUGUUAACCACUUGCAAGAUACAAAUGACGGCCAGCUGGAUGAAUAGGAGAAUGUAUGUGAACACCCGGAACUGACAGACCCGGCACGGUGCAUGUGGCUUGAAGUGGGCACUGAGAGAAAGCUCAGACAAUGUAUAUACAUGCUAUUAACAUUCACAUUAAUUUCCACUGGGACACGACUUAAUUAAGUUCAGGAACGCAUGCAAGUGUACUGUUCUUAUUAGAGGCACGGUCUGGAGAAGAUGGCCGGGGAGCUGAGCAUCAUUUCUACAUCAGCUGCUGAAGCGCCCACUAACUUUGGAUGUCGCCUAAACCUUCAGAUGGAAUCCUUGCAGGCAUUCCCGUGGGGAUCGGGAAAUUGCAGUAUGCCGGAACUACCGUUGCUGAUGUGGGGCGAGCGCUCUGAAGUGCACUUGGAGAAGAACGCAUUCCAACCCCGCAUAUAUGAAAAGUUUAAUAUUUUAGACAGCUAGAUGAAAUGCUGGGGUCUUGGUGCAUUUUGCUUUGGCGGUCCAGGCUUUUCAGCAUCUUAGGGAAAUGUUUGGAAAUGAAUUUUAUUUUCACAACUGUGGUACAAUUACAAGGCGGGGAUGUUUCACCCUUCUCACCGAGGUGCCCUUGGUGGUGGUGGUCUGUAAAUGGCUAUAGAACUGACAGAGAAGUCUGCAAGCAUUUUCUUCGGUUCUGAUUUUUAUUCUUAUUUGUUUUAACAGAGAGAUAAAAACCAGCAUUGUGCAUGUCCUUGCUCUGCGGGUUGGGGAUGUAUCGUUGUUGUUGUCGUUGUUUUCCUGGGAAGUAAAACAGGGUAUGAUAUUGGUAAUAAGGGCAAGUGGAUUUAUUGCUGAGCGAGUUGUACGCUGUUUGACAGAAAAUUCCUGAACUGAUCGGUGUUGGUGGAAGUUGGGGCUGCCUCCCGAUGUUUCCUGAGCCUUCUAUUUAGUUUGGAGUUCUGGGAAGUAUUUGUGGGCUUAAUCCAUUUACGCUUUUGAUAGGUAAAUGCAAGCCAUGAGUUACGGUAAAUUAUUGCUAAGAAAAGAUGAAUGGAAGAAUGGAUGUUUCAUUUUACUAUAUAUGCUGGGAAAGGUUGUUCUUUCUUUCAGCGUAUAACUCUGCUUUUCCUCGUACAACCUAUUUACAGGGUCAGACUUCUUAAUUUAUUUAUUUUUUUGUUUCUGUAUUUACUGUAAUUAAAGCCAAAGCAGACAACACUUCUUCAGUCUUCUGCAUUUACUGAGUGCCUUUAGCAAACACGCUGCAAGGCAUAGCCGUUAGAUGAGCAUUUCCAACCAUGGUGUGUAAAUGAGUUAUAAAAUACAAGCAACUCUAUAAAACAAGAAAAUCCUGAGUUAACAAAUAAAUGGUGUCCUUCCUAUAUCACGUAUAAGCUUUUUUCAUCCUUCUCGUAGGGUGGUAUGGUAUCUCGGAGCUCAAAAGGGAUUUUCGCUGUAGGGUCAGAGAUGGAAGGUGUCACAGUGAAGAACUCCUUCAAAU
Molecule: long non-coding RNA, 1531 nt
Filed under: Gallus gallus (chicken)
Lineage: Eukaryota; Metazoa; Chordata; Aves; Galliformes; Phasianidae
Description: lncRNA (ENSGALG00010023516.1)
Source: RNAcentral